RNAcentral lists this ribosomal RNA (225 nucleotides) under uncultured Desulfosporosinus sp. Its description in RNAcentral is "partial 16S ribosomal RNA". It matches the Rfam family "Bacterial small subunit ribosomal RNA", at positions 568 to 792 of the family's 1533-position model. Lineage: Bacteria; Bacillati; Bacillota; Clostridia; Eubacteriales; Desulfitobacteriaceae. The record is from RNAcentral.
CGCGUAGGCGGAUGUUUAAGUCCGGUGUGAAAGAUCAGGGCUCAACCCUGAGAGUGCAUCGGAAACUGGGCAUCUUGAGGACAGGAGAGGAAAGUGGAAUUCCUAGUGUAGCGGUGAAAUGCGUAGAUAUUAGGAGGAACACCAGUGGCGGAGGCGACUUUCUGGACUGUAACUGACGCUCAAAUGCGAAAGCGUGGGGAUCAAACAGGAUUAGAUACCCUAGUA